RNAcentral lists this ribosomal RNA (253 nucleotides) under uncultured bacterium. Its description in RNAcentral is "partial 16S ribosomal RNA". It matches the Rfam family "Bacterial small subunit ribosomal RNA", at positions 524 to 776 of the family's 1533-position model. The record is from RNAcentral.
UACGUAGGGAGCAAGCGUUAUCCGGAUUUACUGGGUGUAAAGGGAGCGCAGGCGGGAAGCCAAGUCAGCUGUGAAAACUACGGGCUUAACUUGUAGACUGCAGUUGAAACUGGUUUUCUUGAGUGAAGUAGAGGUUGGCGGAAUUCCGAGUGUAGCGGUGAAAUGCGUAGAUAUUCGGAGGAACACCGGUGGCGAAGGCGGCCAACUGGGCUUUAACUGACGCUGAGGCUCGAAAGUGUGGGGAGCAAACAGG